This 456-nucleotide ribosomal RNA is filed under the name Triticum aestivum (bread wheat). RNAcentral describes it as "partial small subunit ribosomal RNA". The record is from RNAcentral. Lineage: Eukaryota; Viridiplantae; Streptophyta; Magnoliopsida; Poales; Poaceae.
AUGGCGGUUGCCGUCGGAGGAGGAGUGGUGCUGAGCCUGCGCGUCCCGUCGUCUUCGGCGUGGCCGGCGGUGGGGCCUCGGCGUAGGGUGUCGUCGUCAGCGGCGGUGAGGUGCGGGGCGACGCGGGAAAAGAGGCCGGCGGUGUCCCCGGGCGUGGGUCUGGAGGAGGACCACUACCGGACGCUGCGGCUGGCGCCGGGCGCCACCAGGGGCGAGGUCAAGAAGGCCUUCCACCGCCUCGCGCUGCAGUACCACCCGGACGUCGUGCGCCAAGAAAACUGCGUGGACUUCGAGCGGAUCAACGCGGCGUACCAGAGGGUGAUGAGCAACAUGCGGGAGGCGGAGGCGAGGCUCGAGUACUGGCGCCGCCGUUACGGCCUCGCCGACGAGGACCUCGACCGGUACCGCCGCUACCUCAACGAGGAGGACGAGGACGACUGGUUCGCCGACCUCUGA